GGGGCGUAACUGGCCUCAAGGAAAGAGCCAGAAAGUCUAGAUGUCUGAGAAGGCAGGGACCCGGGAGGUGGCCGAACGGGCUUGAGGGCUUGCCGCGAGCAACUGCCUGUCAGCAACAAUGCGAAAACUGCCACCUCCUCGCAAGCCUCCUCACCUAGUGCUGGUAACCCGGCGCUGGCCGCCUGCCCAGCCCCGCUCGGCGGAUGCAGCCUAAGCUCAAAGUUUCCUUAGCCCAGACACCUUGGCAAAGGGCUACCCAAGCUGUGCCUUGGACUGGUUCUUCUUACAGCACCUCUCCGCCUUGUCCCCAUCCGAUCCGAGCAGAAAGUAGAUUUUCCAAAUUAAAGGGAGAAAGGGGUGUGUGUGUGUGUGUGUGGUGAUGAGGUAUUAUUAAAAGAGACCAGGGCGGCCACAACUGAAAACAUCCGCUUCUUUUCUGACCGAUGCCCUGGAAUUGACUGAUGACGGGCCUGUGAGGUUAAAGAAAAUGAAAUAGAAAGCCAAGUUGACCGAGGAGGGGCUGGCUGCCAGCAAGGUUGUCCUGUCUCCGUUACUACACGGGCGUGAAGAUUUGUAGGCGCAGCCAGUGCAAGAGCUUCAAAUCGCCAUCCACUCCUGAUCCCCUUGGAAGGAAAAGCCGGCAGAGCUCAGGGAGAGUGAGUCAAGAAAAAGCCUCUGGACUUGUGUGCGUCGCAGCCUUGGUUUGGGAUUUUAAGGAUAGGAAAGAGAAUUAACAGCAUCUCAAGAUUUGUUUUUCUUUAGCACAGCAUACCCACGCCAUCGUUGUCAUAGAGCGCUGCGAGCACGCUAGCGCCUCUCCGAAGCGGGGGCAGGUGAGCCCGGCGUAGGUGGGCAGGUGGCGGCGGUGGCAGCAUCAGGCGGGUGGUUUGCAGGGCGAGCGAAGAAGUCCAAGCCGCCGUCUG
Long non-coding RNA from Phyllostomus hastatus (greater spear-nosed bat), 923 nucleotides. RefSeq lists it as uncharacterized. The transcript is spliced from 3 exons. Lineage: Eukaryota; Metazoa; Chordata; Mammalia; Chiroptera; Phyllostomidae. The record is from RefSeq and is a predicted model, not a curated record.